This 449-nucleotide ribosomal RNA is filed under the name uncultured bacterium. RNAcentral's name for it is "bacterial SSU rRNA". It matches the Rfam family "Bacterial small subunit ribosomal RNA", at positions 28 to 507 of the family's 1533-position model. The record is from RNAcentral.
GAUGAACGCUGGCGGCGUGCCUAACACAUGCAAGUCGAGCGAUUCUCUUCGGAGAAGAGCGGCGGACGGGUGAGUAACGCGUGGGUAACCUGCCCUGUACACACGGAUAACAUACCGAAAGGUAUGCUAAUACGAGAUAAUAUACUUUUAUCGCAUGGUAGAAGUAUCAAAGCUCCGGCGGUACAGGAUGGACCCGCGUCUGAUUAGCUAGUUGGUAAGGUAACGGCUUACCAAGGCGACGAUCAGUAGCCGACCUGAGAGGGUGAUCGGCCACAUUGGAACUGAGACACGGUCCAAACUCCUACGGGAGGCAGCAGUGGGGAAUAUUGCACAAUGGCGAAAGCCUGAUGCAGCAACGCCGCGUGAGCGAUGAAGGCCUUCGGGUCGUAAAGCUCUGUCCUCAAGGAAGAUAAUGACGGUACUUGAGAGGAAGCCCGGCUAACUACGUG